This 440-nucleotide ribosomal RNA is filed under the name uncultured bacterium. RNAcentral's name for it is "partial 16S ribosomal RNA". It matches the Rfam family "Bacterial small subunit ribosomal RNA", at positions 338 to 795 of the family's 1533-position model. The record is from RNAcentral.
CCUACGGGCGGCAGCAGUAGGGAAUAUUGCUCAAUGGGGGAAACCCUGAAGCAGCAACGCCGCGUGGAGGAUGAAGGUUUUCGGAUUGUAAACUCCUUUUGUUAGAGAAGAUAAUGACGGUAUCUAACGAAUAAGCACCGGCUAACUCCGUGCCAGCAGCCGCGGUAAUACGGAGGGUGCAAGCGUUACUCGGAAUCACUGGGCGUACAGAGCGCGUAGGCGGGAUAGCAAGUCAGAUGUGAAAUCCUAUGGCUUAACCAUAGAACUGCAUUUGAAACUGGUAGUCUAGAGUGUGGGAGAGGUAGGUGGAAUUCUAGGUGUAGGGGUGAAAUGCGUAGAGAUCUGGAGGAAUACUCAUUGCGAAGGCGACCUGCUAGACCAUAACUGACGCUGAUGCGCGAAAGCGUGGGGAGCAAACAGGAUUAGAUACCCGUGUAGUC